GAUUAGCAAAUGAGAGCAACUCUCACCCCCGAGCCCAUCCUAACGCUCUUAAACCAAAGGGAAAAGGACGUGUUCCACUUUGCUGCCCAUUCUGAGGAGGAAGGCAUUACCUCGAAGCCAGGGAUGUGGUGGACAGCCGGCUGUGGAGGAAACACACACGAUUUCCAUUCGUGCUCCCGGGGACGGCAAACAGCAGAGCCCUCCCCCAAACCCAACACCGGCCCCCAAAUCCCUGGCAGAGGGCAGGGCUCUGCCUGCAGUGGGGAACGCAGCAGGACCCCCACCCAAGGGCUCAACCCUGACUCCUGCAGGUCCUGCACGGGGUGAGGAGGGGGUGGACAUCACCUCCCCCCAGCCCACCAGCAGCUGCAGACCCACGUGGAGGCAGCAAGCAAUAGCACAGCCAACAUCAGCAGCCCUGGGGGGCGCAGCCCCAGUCCCCACAGCAGCCCCAAUCCACGCAGCGGGGCAGGGGUCCAGAUCACCUGCAAUGGCUGCAGAAUGCAGGCAGUGGGGUGCUCCUGCAGGAGCAGCAGCUGGACCUGCAGCCCUGCAGGAGGAGGAUGCAGGAGGAACAGGACAUGCAUCCAUGCAGCAGGAGGAGCACCGGGAACCUGCAUCCUUGCAGGAGGAGCAGCAGGACCUACAUUGGUGCAGGAGGAGCAGUGGGAUUUGCGUUGGUGCAGGAGAAGCAGCAUCUGCAUCCAUGCAACAGGAGCAGCAGUGGGACACGCAUCCCUGCAGGAGGAGCAGAGGGACCUACAGUGGUGCAGGAGGAGCAGCAGGACCUGCAUCCGUG
RNAcentral lists this long non-coding RNA (799 nucleotides) under Gallus gallus (chicken). Its description in RNAcentral is "long non-coding RNA NONGGAT007340". Lineage: Eukaryota; Metazoa; Chordata; Aves; Galliformes; Phasianidae. The record is from RNAcentral.